This 30-nucleotide non-coding RNA is filed under the name Rattus norvegicus (Norway rat). The record is from RNAcentral. Lineage: Eukaryota; Metazoa; Chordata; Mammalia; Rodentia; Muridae.
UAAAUCUAACGUUGCCUAUCAGUAUCAAUU